This 445-nucleotide ribosomal RNA is filed under the name uncultured bacterium. RNAcentral's name for it is "bacterial SSU rRNA". It matches the Rfam family "Bacterial small subunit ribosomal RNA", at positions 331 to 793 of the family's 1533-position model. The record is from RNAcentral.
CCAGACUCCUACGGGAGGCAGCAGUGGGGAAUAUUGCACAAUGGGGGAAACCCUGAUGCAGCAACGCCGCGUGAGUGAAGAAGUCAUUCGUGAUGUAAAGCUCUAUCAGCAGGGAAGAAAAUGACGGUACCUGAGUAAGAAGCCCCGGCUAACUACGUGCCAGCAGCCGCGGUAAUACGUAGGGGGCAAGCGUUAUCCGGAUUUACUGGGUGUAAAGGGGGCGCAGACGGCGAUGCAAGCCAGGAGUGAAAGCCCGGGGCCCAACCCCGGGACUGCUUUGGAAACUGCCCGGCUAGAGUGCUGGAGAGGUAAGCGGAAUUCCUAGUGUAGCGGUGAAAUGCGUAGAUAUUAGGAGGAACACCAGUGGCGAAGGCGGCUUACUGGACAGUAACUGACGUUGAGGCUCGAAAGCGUGGGGAGCAAACAGGAUUAGAUACCCUAGUAC